GAUGGAUGAGACAAGAUGAAAGUGGCUGAGUGAAGGUGUUUAUGUGAACGCAUAGGUUGAGAGAUAGGAGGUGUGCAACUGUAGCGAUACUAGUUUAGGAAAGGGAAGAGAGAAAUGGUUAAAAGUCAAAAUGAGUCUUUUUAGGGUUUACUUUAGGAUGGUAAAAAAAUUCAAUUGGGUUGUGUUUUCUUUUUAAUUUUUGUUUGGGUUUAGAUAAAUG
Molecule: long non-coding RNA, 220 nt
Filed under: Gossypium raimondii (Peruvian cotton)
Lineage: Eukaryota; Viridiplantae; Streptophyta; Magnoliopsida; Malvales; Malvaceae
Description: long non-coding RNA (GRAI_LNC002057)
Source: RNAcentral